GAUGAACGCUGGCGGCGUGCCUAAUACAUGCAAGUCGUGCGAACAGACGAGGAGCUUGCUCCUUUGACGUUAGCGGCGGACGGGUGAGUAACACGUAGGUAACCUACCUAUAAGACUGGGAUAACUUCGGGAAACCGGAGCUAAUACCGGAUAAUAUUUCGAACCGCAUGGUUCGAUAGUGAAAGAUGGCUUUGCUAUCACUUAUGGAUGGACCUGCGCCGUAUUAGCUAGUUGGUAAGGUAACGGCUUACCAAGGCAACGAUACGUAGCCGACCUGAGAGGGUGAUCGGCCACACUGGAACUGAGACACGGUCCAGACUCCUACGGGAGGCAGCAGUAGGGAAUCUUCCGCAAUGGGCGAAAGCCUGACGGAGCAACGCCGCGUGAGUGAUGAAGGUCUUCGGAUCGUAAAACUCUGUUAUUAGGGAAGAACAAACGUGUAAGUAACUGUGCACGUCUUGACGGUACCUAAUCAGAAAGCCACGGCUAACUACGUG
RNAcentral lists this ribosomal RNA (497 nucleotides) under uncultured bacterium. RNAcentral's name for it is "partial 16S ribosomal RNA". It matches the Rfam family "Bacterial small subunit ribosomal RNA", at positions 28 to 507 of the family's 1533-position model. The record is from RNAcentral.